UGCUCAGCGAUGACAUUCCACUCUUGCAGCAGGUUGUACUUGCAGACUGUGACGCACGCAUAGCAAUGGCAGC
RNAcentral lists this non-coding RNA (73 nucleotides) under Symbiodinium sp. clade A. The record is from RNAcentral. Lineage: Eukaryota; Dinophyceae; Suessiales; Symbiodiniaceae.